RNAcentral lists this ribosomal RNA (624 nucleotides) under Tyrtaeosus lateralis. RNAcentral describes it as "SSU rRNA". It matches the Rfam family "Eukaryotic small subunit ribosomal RNA", at positions 6 to 608 of the family's 1831-position model. Lineage: Eukaryota; Metazoa; Arthropoda; Insecta; Coleoptera; Curculionidae. The record is from RNAcentral.
GGUUGAUCCUGCCAGUAGUCAUAUGCUUGUCUCAAAGAUUAAGCCAUGCAUGUCUCAGUACAAGCCAAAUUAAGGUGAAACCGCGAAAGGCUCAUUAAAUCAGUUAUGGUUCCUUAGAUCGUACCCACAAUUACUUGGAUAACUGUGGUAAUUCUAGAGCUAAUACAUGCAAACAGAGCUCCGACCGGAGACGGAAGGAGUGCUUUUAUUAGAUCAAAACCAAUCGGUGGCGGGCUUGCUCGUCAUCGUACAACUUGGUGACUCUGAAUAACUUUACGCUGAUCGCACGGUCAUCGCACCGGCGACGCAUCUUUCAAAUGUCUGCCUUAUCAACUGUCGAUGGUAGGUUCUGCGCCUACCAUGGUUGUAACGGGUAACGGGGAAUCAGGGUUCGAUUCCGGAGAGGGAGCCUGAGAAACGGCUACCACAUCCAAGGAAGGCAGCAGGCGCGCAAAUUACCCACUCCCGGCACGGGGAGGUAGUGACGAAAAAUAACGAUACGGGACUCAUCCGAGGCCCCGUAAUCGGAAUGAGUACACUCUAAACCCUUUAACGAGGAUCAAUUGGAGGGCAAGUCUGGUGCCAGCAGCCGCGGUAAUUCCAGCUCCAAUAGCGUAUAUUAAA